CAGUAGCGCGGUAAUACGUAGGUGGCAAGCGUUGUCCGGAAUUAUUGGGCGUAAAGGGCUCGCAGGCGGUUUCUUAAGUCUGAUGUGAAAGCCCCCGGCUCAACCGGGGAGGGUCAUUGGAAACUGGGAAACUUGAGUGCAGAAGAGGAGAGUGGAAUUCCACGUGUAGCGGUGAAAUGCGUAGAGAUGUGGAGGAACACCAGUGGCGAAGGCGACUCUCUGGUCUGUAACUGACGCUGAGGAGCGAAAGCGUGGGGAGCGAACAGGAUUAGAUACCCCCGUAGUCCCUGUCUCUUAUACA
Molecule: ribosomal RNA, 301 nt
Filed under: uncultured bacterium
Lineage: Bacteria
Description: partial 16S ribosomal RNA
Rfam family: Bacterial small subunit ribosomal RNA
Source: RNAcentral